Molecule: ribosomal RNA, 274 nt
Filed under: uncultured bacterium
Lineage: Bacteria
Description: partial 16S ribosomal RNA
Rfam family: Bacterial small subunit ribosomal RNA
Source: RNAcentral
AUACGGAGGGUGCAAGCGUUACUCGGAAUCACUGGGCGUAAAGCGCGCGCAGGCGGCCAUUUAAGUUGGAUGUGAAAGCCUACGGCUCAACCGUAGAACUGCAUCCAAAACUAUUUGGCUAGAGUGUGGGAGAGGAAGAUGGAAUUAGUUGUGUAGGGGUAAAAUCCGUAGGGAUAACUAGGAAUACCAAAAGCGAAGGCAAUCUUCUGGAACAUUACUGACGCUGAGGCGCGAAAGCGUGGGGAGCAAACAGGAUUAGAAACCCGGGUAGUCC